This is a long non-coding RNA of Rosa chinensis, 512 nucleotides long. RefSeq lists it as uncharacterized. The record is from RefSeq and is a predicted model, not a curated record. NCBI's taxonomy places the organism in Eukaryota, Viridiplantae, Streptophyta, Magnoliopsida, Rosales, Rosaceae. The transcript has 3 exons.
CAGCAAUUUUGAAUGGCAUUGAUAACAUGUUAAGCUUCUUUCAAUUUUGAAUGGUGCUCUUAAUUCAUCAUUGUUGCAGGUCAACGCUAGCAGAUCAAAGCGGCAACUUCAAUUUUGUCUGGAGCCUUAGGACUAUCACAGUGGGACUGAACCCAAUCUGGAUCAAUUUUGAGUGAUAUUGGUGGGAUUUCAGGUAUUUGUAGUGGGCGGUAAAGGAUCGGAAAGGGUAUACCCAACAACAACUUGACGAGGUCCGCAUUGAAGUAGCCGACUACUUACAGACUCUGUUGUAGGUUCUGACCAGUUUCUUGAUUUUGAGUUAGUUUUAACUAACUUUUUUGUAGCAAUUAUGAACAAACAAGAAUACUAAUUGCUAGGCUAGCCUUGUAGUAUAUAGGUGCAUAUAUGAAUUGGGGUUUUAUUUUGCCCAUUUUGUAAACUGUUAAGGAUGAUGAAUGUCGGAUAUAAUACCCCAAUUUGCAAUUUAUAAUCACAGUUCUAUUUUGUGGACA